CCAAUAGCGUAUAUUAAAGUUGUUGCAGUUAAAAAGCUCGUAGUUGAAUUUCGGGAUCAUCAGGUUGGUCGUGCCUCUGGUAUGUACUGAUUUCGAUGGUUCCUCCUUCUUGAAGAACCGUAAUGCCAUUAAUCUGGUGUUGCGGGGAAACAGGACUGUUACUUUGAAAAAAUUAGAGUGUUUAAAGCAGGCAAUCGCUUGAAUACAUUAGCAUGGAAUAAUGAAAUAGGACGUUCGAUCCUAUUUUGUUGGUUUCUAGGAUUGACGUAAUGAUUAAUAGGGAUAGUUGGGGGCAUUAGUAUUCAAUUGUCAGAGGUGAAAUUCUUGGAUUUAUUGAAGACUAACUACUGCGAAAGCAUUUGCCAAGGAUGUUUUCAUUAAUCAAGAACGAAAGUUAGGGGAUCGAAGACGAUCAGAUACCGUCGUAGUCUUAACCAUAAACUAUGCCGACUAGGGAUCGGAUGAUGUUAAUUUUUUAAUGACUCACUCGGCGCCUUACG
Molecule: ribosomal RNA, 500 nt
Filed under: uncultured Glomeromycotina
Lineage: Eukaryota; Fungi; Glomeromycota
Description: partial small subunit ribosomal RNA
Rfam family: Eukaryotic small subunit ribosomal RNA
Source: RNAcentral